This is a long non-coding RNA of Carya illinoinensis, 1900 nucleotides long. RefSeq lists it as uncharacterized. The record is from RefSeq and is a predicted model, not a curated record. The transcript is spliced from 2 exons. NCBI's taxonomy places the organism in Eukaryota, Viridiplantae, Streptophyta, Magnoliopsida, Fagales, Juglandaceae.
AUAGUUUACAUAUCCUAUGCCGUUUGCUAUUUGCUUUUUUAUUUUUAAAUUUAAUCAUGGAUUUCAAAUUGCAUUAGCAAUGGUAAAGAGCAAUUUAUUAUGCAAUUCUGCCCGGUUUGGAUUAAGAAAUUCCUUAACUUAUUUCAUCUAAUUAUUACAACUUUUUCAAAUUUUCACACAAAAUAUAAUAAAUAAUUUAAUUUUUUUAUAUUUCAAAACAAUAAUAAUAUUAAAAAAUAAUAUUCUAAUAAUAUUUUAUUCAACUUUCAUUUCAUCUUAACUCACUAUUCAAACCUCCCAUUUCAAAUAUGUCCUCCCCAUUAGUACAUUGGUGAUAAGAUUUUUUUUAAGCAAUCCUAUUACAAAUUUAAAUGUCAGGUAAAAAUGUCUGCCUUUGUCUUAAUCUCUGUGCAUGCUACUCUGUGUGCGUGCUACUCUGUGUGCGCACUUGCACAGGAGGAGGGGAAGGCUGGGUUGGGAGAAAAGUAACGAAGCAUUCCAGUUACUUUUCUCCCUUGAAGAAUAAUGAUGCUCACCAUUUUAUAUAACACGCAUAGAGCAAACUAAAAUGAUUGCUCCUGUUAUGAUGAACUGAAUGAAAUGUAUCUGUGGGUUGGCCAAAUUAUCUACCAUUAUUAGUUGGGUUUGGGGCGAAAUUGGUGAAUGUAACCUGAAAUUCCAGAGCACACAGCUGAAUGAGUUUAGCACCAUCACAAAUCUUACUCUCACACAUCGGUCCUUGGGUCGGAGCAACAACAACUUGUUUUUCCCACAGACUGUUGGGCCGAGGCUAUUGGUAAACCUAACCCUGAUACCAGUGUACUUAGGUCUCUCUCAACUCUAAAAGCUAGCUCAAGAGGUAAGGUUUUCUUUCACACUUAUAAACUGACCAUCAGUCUCUUCCACAAUUGAUGUGGGAGAACUCCAACAGAAAUUAAGGGAGUUUAUCUCACUGUGAGAUCACUUUUAUAACGCAGUCUGAUUAUGUGAAGUGCUGAAGUCAGGUUUCAACGAGUCCAAAAUUAAGCACAAAAACCAAAGUCCAGGUCAUGUUGAAAAAUUAGAGAGUGACCCACACUGGGAGUCCAUUGAUGAUCAUAAUAUUUUUGUUCUGAGGUUGAAGAUUACCCCAUCUUGAAAUCAUAAUUCUCAAAUCAUCUCACUUUUCUGGGUAAACUAAUAUUUUUCCCCCUAAAAGGAUGAUAACUAUUUCAUGGUUGGAAGGGAGUUUUCUCCAACAGAAGAAGGAAAGCAUAUGUAAACCACAAUGAAAUGGAUGAGAUGUGGCUUUGCUGAAAAUUUACAAAUUAACAAGUGAUGAGUCAAGCCUGCUGCUAGGAACUCUACCCUGCAUUUGUAUUGAGAGCUAAAGGGUUUAUAAAAUCUGAGUCUCCCUGACAUGUAAGAAAUUAUGUGGAUGAUGAAAACGUUACUUUCCUACUGAACUAAUAUUUUAUGAUUUUAUGAAUGGCAGCCUUCUUGAUACGUUUGAUAAAUGUUGAAAGCUUUUUCUUGUUUGAAAGACACAAAAGAAAAUUAAACAGGAAAAAGGAAAAAAAAAAAUCUUCAACAGAGCAAGAAGGGCUAAGAGCGUGCAGUUUUGCAUGGUUGAUCAAGUUUGCAUAACAAGCGUUUGAGACGAAGCAAUUUUCCAUAAAGGACUCCACAAGCAAUGCAAAGGUCAUUUCUAAGAAGGAUUCCAUUGGUGGCUGAGCAGUUGAGGAAAUAGAGUUGUGUUAGAAUCAAAUUUAUUUAGGAGUAUUUGGGAAUAGGAUUAUCAUCAGGUUGCAAUUGGGUGUUUUAGGUUUUUUUUUUUUUGUAGGAUUCAUCUGUUGGUUAUUACUAUUUCUAUCAGGAGUUGCAUGUUUCUUUUUCUAUAAAAACAGAGUUUGCCUGAAAA